GAGCUCAGAUUUGAAAUCGUGCUUUGCGGCACGAGUUGUAGAUUGCAGGUUGGAGUCUGUGUGGAAGGCGGUGUCCAAGUCCCUUGGAACAGGGCGCCCAGGAGGGUGAGAGCCCCGUGGGAUGCCGGCGGAAGCAGUGAGGCCCUUCUGACGAGUCGAGUUGUUUGGGAAUGCAGCUCCAAGCGGGUGGUAAAUUCCAUCUAAGGCUAAAUACUGGCGAGAGACCGAUAGCGAACAAGUACUGUGAAGGAAAGAUGAAAAGCACUUUGAAAAGAGAGUGAAACAGCACGUGAAAUUGUUGAAAGGGAAGGGUAUUGCGCCCGACAUGGGGAUUGCGCACCGCUGCCUCUCGUGGGCGGCGCUCUGGGCUUUCCCUGGGCCAGCAUCGGUUCUUGCUGCAGGAGAAGGGGUUCUGGAACGUGGCUCUUCGGAGUGUUAUAGCCAGGGCCAGAUGCUGCGUGCGGGGACCGAGGACUGCGG
Molecule: ribosomal RNA, 480 nt
Filed under: Pichia kudriavzevii
Lineage: Eukaryota; Fungi; Ascomycota; Pichiomycetes; Pichiales; Pichiaceae
Description: eukaryotic LSU rRNA
Rfam family: Eukaryotic large subunit ribosomal RNA
Source: RNAcentral